UUAACACAUGCAAGUCGAACGGAAAGGCCCUUCUUUUGUGGGGUGCUCGAGUGGCGAACGGGUGAGUAACACGUGAGUAACCUGCCCUUGACUUUGGGAUAACUUCAGGAAACUGGGGCUAAUACCGGAUAGGAGCUCCUGCUGCAUGGUGGGGGUUGGAAAGUUUCGGCGGUUGGGGAUGGACUCGCGGCUUAUCAGCUUGUUGGUGGGGUAGUGGCUUACCAAGGCUUUGACGGGUAGCCGGCCUGAGAGGGUGACCGGCCACAUUGGGACUGAGAUACGGCCCAGACUCCUACGGGGGGCAGCAGUGGGGAAUAUUGCACAAUGGGCGGAAGCCUGAUGCAGCAACGCCGCGUGCGGGAUGACGGCCUUCGGGUUGUAAACCGCUUUCGCCUGUGACGAAGCGUGAGUGACGGUAAUGGGUAAAGAAGCACCGGCUAACUACGUGCCAGCAGCCGCGGUGAUACGUAGGGUGCGAGCGUUGUCCGGAUUUAUUGGGCGUAAAGGGCUCGUAGGUGGUUGAUCGCGUCGGAAGUGUAAUCUUGGGGCUUAACCCUGAGCGUGCUUUCGAUACGGGUUGACUUGAGGAAGGUAGGGGAGAAUGGAAUUCCUGGUGGAGCGGUGGAAUGCGCAGAUAUCAGGAGGAACACCAGUGGCGAAGGCGGUUCUCUGGGCCUUUCCUGACGCUGAGGAGCGAAAGCGUGGGGAGCGAACAGGCUUAGAUACCCUGGUAGUCCACGCUGUAAACGGUGGGUACUAGGUGUGGGGUCCAUUCCACGGGUUCCGUGCCGUAGCUAACGCUUUAAGUACCCCGCCUGGGGAGUACGGCCGCAAGGCUAAAACUCAAAGGAAUUGACGGGGCCCCGCACAAGCGGCGGAGCAUGCGGAUUAAUUCGAUGCAACGCGUAGAACCUUACCUGGGUUUGACAUGGAUCGGGAGUGCUCAGAGAUGGGUGUGCCUCUUUUGGGGUCGGUUCACAGGUGGUGCAUGGCUGUCGUCAGCUCGUGUCGUGAGAUGUUGGGUUAAGUCCCGCAACGAGCGCAACCCUUGUUCACUGUUGCCAGCACGUUAUGGUGGGGACUCAGUGGAGACCGCCGGGGUCAACUCGGAGGAAGGUGGGGAUGACGUCAAGUCAUCAUGCCCCUUAUGUCCAGGGCUUCACGCAUGCUACAAUGGCUGGUACAGAGAGUGGCGAGCCUGUGAGGGUGAGCGAAUCUCGGAAAGCCGGUCUCAGUUCGGAUUGGGGUCUGCAACUCGACCUCAUGAAGUCGGAGUCGCUAGUAAUCGCAGAUCAGCAACGCUGCGGUGAAUACGUUCCCGGGGCUUGUACACACCGCCCGUCAAGUCAUGAAAGUUGGUAACACCCGAAGCCGGUGGCCUAACCGUUGUGGGGGAGCCGUCGAAGGUGGGACUGGUGAUUAGGACUAAGUCAUAAC
Molecule: ribosomal RNA, 1437 nt
Filed under: uncultured organism
Description: 16S ribosomal RNA
Rfam family: Bacterial small subunit ribosomal RNA
Source: RNAcentral